UACAUGCAGUCGUACGCUAGCCGCUGAAUUGAUCCUUCGGGUGAAGUGAGGCAAUGACUAGAGUGGCGAACUGGUGAGUAACACGUAAGAAACCUGCCCUUUAGUGGGGGAUAACAUUUGGAAACAGAUGCUAAUACCGCGUAACAACAAAUCACACAUGUGAUCUGUUUGAAAGGUCCUUUUGGAUCGCUAGAGGAUGGUCUUGCGGCGUAUUAGCUUGUUGGUAGGGUAGAAGCCUACCAAGGCAAUGAUGCGUAGCCGAGUUGAGAGACUGGCCGGCCACAUUGGGACUGAGACACUGCCCAAACUCCUACGGGAGGCUGCAGUAGGGAAUUUUCCGCAAUGCACGAAAGUGUGACGGAGCGACGCCGCGUGUGUGAUGAAGGCUUUCGGGUCGUAAAGCACUGUUGUAAGGGAAGAAUAACUGAAUUCAGAGAAAGUUUUCAGCUUGACGGUACCUUACCAGAAAGGGAUGGCUAAAUACGUGCCAGCAGCCGCGGUAAUACGUAUGUCCCGAGCGUUAUCCGGAUUUAUUGGGCGUAAAGCGAGCGCAGACGGUUUAUUAAGUCUGAUGUGAAAUCCCGAGGCCCAACCUCGGAACUGCAUUGGAAACUGAUUUACUUGAGUGCGAUAGAGGCAAGUGGAACUCCAU
This 652-nucleotide ribosomal RNA is filed under the name Oenococcus oeni. RNAcentral describes it as "bacterial SSU rRNA". It matches the Rfam family "Bacterial small subunit ribosomal RNA", at positions 52 to 672 of the family's 1533-position model. Lineage: Bacteria; Bacillati; Bacillota; Bacilli; Lactobacillales; Lactobacillaceae. The record is from RNAcentral.